GACGAACGCUGGCGGCGUGCUUAACACAUGCAAGUCGAACGGAAAGGCCCUGCUUUUGUGGGGUGCUCGAGUGGCGAACGGGUGAGUAACACGUGAGUAACCUGCCCUUGACUUUGGGAUAACUUCAGGAAACUGGGGCUAAUACCGGAUAGGAGCUCCUGCUGCAUGGAGGGGGUUGGAAAGUUUCGGCGGUUGGGGAUGGACUCGCGGCUUAUCAGCUUGUUGGUGGGGUAGUGGCUUACCAAGGCUUUGACGGGUAGCCGGCCUGAGAGGGUGACCGGCCACAUUGGGACUGAGAUACGGCCCAGACUCCUACGGGAGGCAGCAGUGGGGAAUAUUGCACAAUGGGCGGAAGCCUGAUGCAGCAACGCCGCGUGCGGGAUGACGGCCUUCGGGUCGUAAACCGCUUUCGCCUGUGACGAAGCGUGAGUGACGGUAAUGGGUAAAGAAGCACCGGCUAACUACGUG
RNAcentral lists this ribosomal RNA (468 nucleotides) under uncultured bacterium. RNAcentral's name for it is "partial 16S ribosomal RNA". It matches the Rfam family "Bacterial small subunit ribosomal RNA", at positions 28 to 507 of the family's 1533-position model. The record is from RNAcentral.